UGCAAGUCGAACGCUUCUUUUUCCACCGGAGCUUGCUCCACCGGAAAAAGAAGAGUGGCGAACGGGUGAGUAACACGUGGGUAACCUGCCCAUCAGAAGGGGAUAACACUUGGAAACAGGUGCUAAUACCGUAUAACAAUCAAAACCGCAUGGUUUUGAUUUGAAAGGCGCUUUCGGGUGUCGCUGAUGGAUGGACCCGCGGUGCAUUAGCUAGUUGGUGAGGUAACGGCUCACCAAGGCCACGAUGCAUAGCCGACCUGAGAGGGUGAUCGGCCACAUUGGGACUGAGACACGGCCCAAACUCCUACGGGAGGCAGCAGUAGGGAAUCUUCGGCAAUGGACGAAAGUCUGACCGAGCAACGCCGCGUGAGUGAAGAAGGUUUUCGGAUCGUAAAACUCUGUUGUUAGAGAAGAACAAGGAUGAGAGUAACUGUUCAUCCCUUGACGGUAUCUAACCAGAAAGCCACGGCUAACUACGUGCCAGCAGCCGCGGUAAUACGUAGGUGGCAAGCGUUGUCCGGAUUUAUUGGGCGUAAAGCGAGCGCAGGCGGUUUCUUAAGUCUGAUGUGAAAGCCCCCGGCUCAACCGGGGAGGGUCAUUGGAAACUGGGAGACUUGAGUGCAGAAGAGGAGAGUGGAAUUCCAUGUGUAGCGGUGAAAUGCGUAGAUAUAUGGAGGAACACCAGUGGCGAAGGCGGCUCUCUGGUCUGUAACUGACGCUGAGGCUCGAAAGCGUGGGGAGCAAACAGGAUUAGAUACCCUGGUAGUCCACGCCGUAAACGAUGAGUGCUAAGUGUUGGAGGGUUUCCGCCCUUCAGUGCUGCAGCUAACGCAUUAAGCACUCCGCCUGGGGAGUACGACCGCAAGGUUGAAACUCAAAGGAAUUGACGGGGGCCCGCACAAGCGGUGGAGCAUGUGGUUUAAUUCGAAGCAACGCGAAGAACCUUACCAGGUCUUGACAUCCUUUGACCACUCUAGAGAUAGAGCUUCC
Molecule: ribosomal RNA, 990 nt
Filed under: Enterococcus faecium
Lineage: Bacteria; Bacillati; Bacillota; Bacilli; Lactobacillales; Enterococcaceae
Description: bacterial SSU rRNA
Rfam family: Bacterial small subunit ribosomal RNA
Source: RNAcentral